GUGCUCACUUCAGCAGCAUAUAUAAUAAAAUUGGAACAAAACAACAAAGAUUAGCAUGGCCCCUGAGCAAGGAUGAUACACAAAUUUGUGCAGCAUUCUAUAUUUUU
Molecule: small nuclear RNA, 107 nt
Organism: Ochotona princeps (American pika)
Lineage: Eukaryota; Metazoa; Chordata; Mammalia; Lagomorpha; Ochotonidae
Source: Ensembl